Molecule: long non-coding RNA, 16095 nt
Filed under: Phaseolus vulgaris (common bean)
Lineage: Eukaryota; Viridiplantae; Streptophyta; Magnoliopsida; Fabales; Fabaceae
Description: long non-coding RNA (PVUL_LNC004621)
Source: RNAcentral
GUUGUAAAGGGAUUAGUGGGGGUCAGAAAAGGAGAGUUAGCAUCUGCAUUGAGAUCCUAACACGCCCUAAACUUCUCUUUCUUGAUGAACCAACUAGUGGACUUGAUAGUGCAGCUUCCUAUUAUGUCAUGAAAAGAAUUGCUACACUUGAUAAAAGAGACGACAUUCACAGAACUGUUAUUGCCUCAAUACAUCAACCUAGCAGUGAAGUUUUUCAACUCUUCAACAACCUUUGUCUUCUAUCUUCAGGUAGAACUGUUUACUUUGGACCUGCUUCGGCUGCAAGUGAGGUUAGGGACUGAACUAACCUUUUUAAUAUACCACUCUUUUGCUCAUUUCUAAUUUUAAGUUUCACUACUAAUUCUGCUUUUGUUCGAUGUAGUUCUUCGCUUCAAAUGGUUUUCCUUGUCCUUCUCUCAUGAAUCCAUCUGAUCAUAUGCUGAAAACCAUAAACACGGAUUUCGAUCAAGUAACUAACUUGACCAUGCUUCCAUAGAAUUGGUGUCUUUUACUGUAGUCAACGAAUAACUAAUUAACACACAAGUAUGGUUGAAUUAUUUAUCAGGACAAUGAGUUAGGAGGGAAUGAAACAAUACCCACCACAGAAGUGAUUCAAAUCCUUGUAAAUUCGUACAAGUCCUCUGAAAUGCACCAAGAUGUUGAGAAAGAAGUAGCAGAACUAACUGAAAAGGUAUCUUUAAUAUGGCUAAGUAGAUCUCAUACCUUGUACCUAAAUUUGGUCAACAGUUAAUUAUAAUUUAUAAAAUAUUAGUGUUAAAUUUUCAUGGGUUAAUUUGCAGGACAGUUGUUCAACAAACAAGAAGAGAAGUCAUGCUGGCUUCCUUAGUCAGUGUUUUGCUCUUACCAAAAGAUCAUCCAUUAACAUGUAUCGUGAUCUCGGCUAUUACUGGUUACGCCUUGGCAUAUAUAUUGCAUUGGCUAUAAGUUUAGCCACUAUUUUCUAUGAUCUGGGUACAAGUCAACGCUCAAUCCAGGUAAUAGAGGAAAAGUAACACAUAAUAUACCACUCAUAUAUAUAUAUAUAUAUAUAUAUAACUUCUAAUGCAGUAUUUGGCUUUAAUUUAGCUAAUUAGUAUCUUCUAAAUCAGAAUUCACUUCUCAUUAUUUCAGGAUAGAGGUUCAUUCCUUAUGUUUGUAUCUUCAUUCAUAACUUUCAUGACCAUUGGCGGAUUCCCUUCCUUUGUGGAGGACAUGAAGGUGAUUCAACCUUUUCUUGUUGUUUUUCAAAUAGAUAAAAGUGAAUUAUAGUAAAGUAUUAAUCUUAAUUACUUCUAAUUUUAGAAGUUCUUAAAGAGUUAAAGUAUCAUUUCAUAGAUAAAGUAGUCUUUCUAUAUAUCUAUUUUCUUACUAAUCAUGUUAUAAUUUUGCCUAACGUGAUAACUAGUGUUGCAUCUUUUAUAAUCUGGCAUAUAUAUUAAGUUCAUCAAAUUAGCAAUUUUGACAGAAAGAUCAAUUUGAUUUAAAAAAAAUGUUAAAAAAUGAAGCUUUUUAAACUUAGUGGAACAAACUGGCAUAAAACAUUUAGAUGAGACAACAAAAUUAUAUUUUUUGUUUUUCUCAAAUUUAUAAACUAGGUUAUUUACUGUCAAAUUCACUUUUUGUUGUCAUUGGUCCUCCAGGUGUUUGAACGUGAGAGACUAAAUGGACAUUACAGUGUGAGUGCAUAUGUGAUUGGGAACACCUUUUCAUCAAUCCCAUUCUUGCUUUUGGUUUCAGUAAUUCCUGGAUCUAUAGCCUAUUACCUUCCAGGUCUUCAGAAAGGCUUUGAACACUUUGUAUAUUUCAUCUGUGUUCUCUUUUCAUGUCUGAUGUUGGUAGAGAGCCUUAUGAUGAUAGUUGCAAGCAUUGUCCCCAACUUUCUAAUGGGCAUCAUAACUGGAGCUGGAAUUCAAGGAAUGAUGAUUUUGGGUGGUGGGUUCUUCAGAUUACCAAGCGAUCUUCCAAGGCCAUUUUGGAAAUACCCAAUGUUCUAUUUUGCAUUCCAUAGAUAUGCGUACCAAGGAUUGUUCAAAAACGAGUUUAUAGGACUGAGAUUCGCUUCAGAUAAUGUCCAAGGUGGCUCCUACGUUACUGGUGAAGAAGUUCUGACAAAUACAUGGCAAGUAAACAUGAGUUACUCAAAGUGGGUUGAUCUUGGAAUCUUGGUGGGGAUGAUUAUUCUGUAUAGAGUUCUCUUCUUGGUUAACAUCAAAACUACUGAGAAGCUGAAGCCAAUCAUUGUAUCGUUCAUGUCAUCAAGAAAUUCUCCCAAGCGAACAGUAUCUAUCAUGCAGAAUCCCAAUGCCACUCCUCUUCAAGAAGUUCAAGUUAUCUAAAGUUAAUGAACCAGGUUCAAGUGUUGGACCAAAAAUAAUUUUCAUAUUCGCAUCAGUAACAUUUUGUAUGACCAGUGCUUUUCAUCUUUCUGCUUCUAAAAUUUAUAUUCAUAAUUAUAAAAAAUGUAUAAGAAAAUGUCUAUCUAAAAGUUAUAUAGUUUCAUUAUGCCACUUCACUCUAUCUAAUACAAUACAUGUACAAAUUAUUUAUUUUUUAUAAUGUGUCCUCUACCCACUUUAACAAAUAUUAAAAUUUGUUUUUCAAUAUCAAUUUUAAUUUUCUUUAACUUCCGAAAAAUACCAUCAGUACUUUUAAGAAUCCCUCUAAGAUUCAGCUCAAAACCCAUAUCAAUCCAUCCAAGAACCUUUCUAUGUUAGCCUAGAACCAUUCCCUAUAACAUACCUAAUGCUAGAUGAAUCCUUUACAAACUAGAAAGAACUUGAAAUUAUCCAAGAAACCCUUUCAUAAAAUCCUCUCUGUCAUUAUCUUUUCUUUACUUUGAAAUUGAAUGAAAGAUUUUCCCUUUCAAGAGUAUUUUAAUAAUUACAAUGAUAUUUAUAAUAUUUACAAUAUUAAUAAUAAUAUUUAUAAUAAUCUUUUUAAUAAUUAACUUCUUCUCCACUUCUCAAUUUGUGACGGAUGAAUUGAACUUUUGGAUAAUGAAUUUUGAUACUGUACUAUCUUAUUCUAUUAUUCAUUUAUAUUAUUUAAUUUAAACUUUUAAUAUGUUGACGAUCUUUCAAUCUAGUUAGUAUAAUAAUAAUAAUAAUUACAAUACUAAUAACAUAAUUAUAAUAACAAAAAUUAUAAUAUAACAACUAAAUAGUCUUAAACUAGGGUUUAGAGGCAUAUGUCAGUUGAUUUGAAUUUAUAACCCAUGACAAAAUGUCAAUAUAAUAUUUAAUAGUUAAUAAUAACUAUAAAUAAAAUAAUAAUAAAUAAUAUUUUUUAAAUAUUAAUAAUAAUAUUAUUAUUUAUUAUUGAUAAAUUUGGAUCCGUCGAUAAAUUAUAAUUUAUUAACAAGUAUAUAAUCAUAUUGGUGUUAUAAUGAUAUCAUUGAAAACUAUUUAGAUCGAUGAUAUUUUCUAGUGAUGUUGUUUUCUGCAUGUUUUUUAUUCAUUUUUAGUAUGUUUUCUUAAGUGAUGGAUUUUCGCAAAAACAAAAGUAAGAUUUAGACAAGUCUAUCUUUUUUGGAGGAUUUUAAAUGAGGUAAAAAUUAGAGUGAGGCAAUGUCUCUCUUCUUAGGAUAGUUUUCACUCUAGUGACAAUUUGGUCACUAAAAUUAAAAUUAUUAAUUAUUUUUAUUUUGUAUGAGUUUCACUCAACACAAUACCAGUUGUUCAAGUAAUAUUUUUGUGAUGAAAAUGCCUAUAAAUGAUAUUUAUGUAUCUGUAUGUAGAUAUCUUUUAUGACAUUGUAUAAUAUUUUUUAAAGUAGAAUAUUAAAAUCAUGUUAUAUAUGAUUUUAUGAUAUACAUAUAUGUUAUAGGAAGAUACAUAGUGAGGUAUUGUGACCCUUGAUUUGGAAGUAAUAAAACAUGAAUUACCUACUCAUAAUUACUUACGAAUUUAGAUUCAUAGAUAAUUUAGAAUUUACACAUGAAUUUUUCUUACAAAUUUGAAUUUAUAAAUUAGGACGGAAACGGUUACAUACAAAUAUUUUUUUAUCUAUAGAAAACCUCCAUAUGUAACAAUUUCUUGUUAAAACUCACGACAAUUACAUACCGAUUUUACUUAUAAAUUUUUUGGCCAAACUAUUUCUUUAUUAUAAAUAAAAAAUUCAUAGAUCUUACCUAUAAAUUAUUAUUAGUAGAUAAAAUUGAAUUAUCUAGAACUAUUACCGACAAAUAUUAUAUAGACAUUACCUACCAAUAUUAAUAUUAUUAUAUUUUUUAUUCUUAUUAUCAAUAAUAAUAAUAUUAUUAUUAUUAUUAUUAAUUAUUAUUAGUAUUACUAAUAUUAUUAUUAUGAUUAUUAGUAUAAUAUUGUUAGUAACAUUAUUAAAAUUAUUAUUAAUAUUUUUAUUAAAAAUAUUAAUAUUAUUAUUGAAAAUAUUAUUAGUAAUAUUAUAAAUACUAUUUUUACAUUAUUAUUAUUAUUAAUAUUAUUUUCAAUAUUAUUAUUAACUAUAUUAACAUUAUAAAUAUUAUUAUUAGUAUUAUAAAUUUAGUAUUAGUAAUAUUAUUAAUGUUAUUAUUAUUGAUAUUGAUAAUAAUAAUAUUAUUAUUGUUAUUAAUAAUUGAUCAUAAUAAUAUUAGUAAUAUUAUCAUUUCUAUUAAUAAUAAUAAAAUUAUUAUUAUUAUUAUGAAAAUAAUAAUAGUUAUAUGAUCAAAAUUUAGUUAGUGUAAUGAUUAAAGAUUUUAUGUGUCUUUAUGAUAUUUGGUUUCGAUUCUCAACAAAUUGUUAUUAAUAAUAGUGAUAAGAUUAAUAGUAUGAUAAAAAUAAUAAUAAUAUUGAAAUUAUUAAUAAGAAUAGAAAUAAGAAUAAUGAUAGAAUAUUAACGUCCGUACAUAAUACCUACAUAUUUAUCCAUAAUGCGUAGUGUGAUUUUUUUUUUCUAUUAACUACGGAUUUCUACUGUAAAUAACUAUAAUUUUUUUAGUGAAAUGACUAUUCUAAAAUUAUAAACAAUAUAUUUAAUUAAUUAUAAGUAAACAUCUUAUGCUAUAUAUGGUAUGCUGCUAUAAUGUCUUUGAAGGAAAGUGAUCAACUUCCAUACUUAAAAAUUUAUUUUGAUAUAUCAAUUUUUCUAAAUGGUUUUUUCAAUACCUUUUUCUUCCACUGUUCCGACAGUGUAUUCAUGAAUCUAUGCAGAUCUGAUAUAAAUGAUCUUUUCCAACCAUACACUUCAGAUCAGACUAGAUAUUCUUAAUGUAUGGCUUAAAUUUUAACUCACCCUAAUCACAUUUAUUGUUUAUUGGAUAAUUCUUUCAAAUUUGUUCUUAUUUUUUUUCCUUGUAUGCUUCAACCUCCUUGUCUAAACAUUAUCCUCAUGUUAUCCAUUAGCUUCUUUUUUUUUAUAAUUUAAGUUUUUUUUUAUCAGCUUAUAAUUUAAGUUAUUGUUUAAGUUGUUUAUAUUUAUACACACACAAAAAGUUAUAUAUAAAUUUAUUGAUUAACAAAUCUAAUUGCAAAAUAAUUUGUAAGUUUUGAAUACUUAUUCACAACUUCUAACCAAACACAUUGAAAAUGGAAUGGUUUGGUCCGAAUUUGUUUAUAAGAUAUAGGAAGGUAUAGUUAUAUUGUUCAUAUUGGUAGUAGAAGGCUUGGCAGGUCUUGUGAGACAAGCUACUAAGGCGAAUCUUCUAUCAGGCCUUAAGAUUGGGAGGAAGAAGGUUGAGGUGAGUAUCUUGCAGUUCGCAGAUGACACCAUGUUCUUCUGUGAGGAUUCCUACUCUAAUGUGGUGACGUUGAAGGCAAUACUCAGGGGUUUUGAGUUAGCUUCAGGUCUGAAGAUAAAUUUUCACAAGUCAAAACUAGCAGGCAUCAAUGUCCAAAGAAACAUCUUAGAUUGCUAUGCUAAGACCCUCAACUGUGCUCAAAUGGGGAUACCUUUCAAGUAUUUGGGCCUUGAAGUAGGAGGGAAUCCCAGGACAAGAAAGUUUUGGGAGCCUAUGCUAAACAAGUUAAAAGACCGACUCAAUGUGUGGAAGGGCAGAUUCCUAUCCAUGGCAGGGAGGGUGUGCUUAAUCAAAUCGGUUCUCUCCUCUGUCCCGCUCUACUACUUAUCUAUGUAUAAAGCACCGGCGUCGAUCUGCAAGAGUAUCACCAGAAUCCAAAGGAGGUUUCUUUGGGGUUGGGGGAAGGAGAAGACGUCUAUCUCUUGGGUAAGGUGGGAAGUUGUGUGCAAAAAUAGAGAGGAGGGUGGUCUGGGUGUGAGAGAGAUUCGAAAGUUUAAUGCAGCUCUUCUGGCUAAAUGGAGGUGGAGAUACAUUUCGGAAGAGAAAGGGAGAUGGAAGGAAUUACUAGAUUCGAAGUAUGGCUCGGAAGUGCAGACUCCGGUCAAACUUCAAUCAUGGUGGUGGAGAGACUUAAACAAAGUAUGUAGGGAGGGUGAAGGUGAAGGGUGGUUUCAUAAAGAAAUUGGAUGGAAGUUAGGAUGUGGAGAUAAAAUUAGGUUCUGGGAGGAUGUGUGGAUUGGUAACGGUAAUCUCAAAACUUUGUUCCCCAGAUUAUUCUCGUUGUCUUUAAAUCAGGGGCACAAGGUGGGAGAGGUAGGGGUGUGGGAAGAGUCGGGGUGGUGUUGGCAGUUAAGGUGGAGACGGGAAAGAUUUGAGUGGGAAUCCGCCCUAGUACAAGAAUUGGAAGUGCUCAUAACUACGACAACCAUUCUCAAAGAAGAGAAGGACGUCCAGGUAUGGGGGAACGAGGAGAAAGGGCGCUUCUCAGUCAAUAAUGCUUACGUGUGUCUAUCUAAACAAGGAAGAGGGCCUCAACUUAAUGUCUUUAAGUCGCUGUGGGAAGCUAAGGCGUUCCCAAGUGCGGUGACUGUAGCGUGGAGAAUUAUGUUGGAUAGACUUCCUACCAGAAUAUGUUUGAGAAGGAGAGGGGUGUUGAUGGAAACAACCUUAUGUGCUCUUUGCCAGACGAAAGAUGAAUCGUGUCAGCACCUAUUUCUGGAUUGUAAAUAUGCUAAUCAAGUGUGGUCUAUGUGCUUCAAUUGGAUUGGUAUGUUGUUCGUUCAACACAAUGAUUUAAUGACGCACUUCGAGAGUUUCAACCUGUUUCAGGUUAGUCAUAGUCAAAACCUGGUUUGGAAAGGGGUGUGGGUAGUGGUAGUCAGGUGUAUUUGGGAUCAGAGGAACUUGGUAGUGUUCAAACAAGGCGUUGUAGAUGCAGAAGAAAUUUUCCAGCAAGCACAAAUUAAAUCUUGGCAAUGGCUGAAACAUAGGUCAAUUUCCUUUAACUAUUCCUUAGUGGAUUGGAUCUUAAAUCCAAUGUGCUGCAUAAAAAGCUGCAAAUAACCAGAUCUUGGUGAUAUGCUCAGUGGAGGAAAGGUGGAGAUGCUGCUAGAGUGGGAAUAAGGCAUUGGUAGUGUGAUGGUUGCAGGGUUUAGAGGCUGCUGAUUAAAGGUUUAGUUUCCAUUGGUCUUGUUUUGUUCUGCAGGUACCGACUGAACUGGCCACCUCAGACAGAUCAGUGGUGAACUGCCCCUGCCAAGCUCAUUGGUUGGAAGCUGUUGUCACAGCCAUUCUUGCGGGAUGGUGCACUUAAUUAACCUAUGGAAGGUUGCAAUGCAACUAGCUACAGUGGGCGGACCUGAGCAAGGAGUUCCUCAGUUGUUGGUGUAAGUGGUUGAAGGCAAAGGCUCUGGCUCUGGAGCACCUGAAGGUCUGUUAUGUGGAAGGAGUUAAGGAGGUGUAAGCAGUACCCUAAGAAGAUAUGGUCAACUGCAAGAAUCAAAUUGCCUAAAGUGUAAAGUGGUAUGGUGAAAUCAAUAUGGUUGCGUGGUAGACAUGUUUUGGCACGGCCUAAGGGAGCCCUAUUCAACUGGUUUUUACUGGUUUGGGGUUCUAGGCCAACCGUCCAUUGGGACGACCUCCCAUCAACUGCAGUACCAAAGGACUUGGUCCUAGAGCAAUUUAUUAUAAAGGGUGUAGGAAGGACGGUGGUAUGGAGGUGCUGAUGGUGGAUUCGCAAGAGUAGAGAGCAGGUAGAAUUAGAGCUAAGCCCCCUAAGGUACAAGGUAGUAAGGAGCUGCUGGAGUACGGUGGCUGUAGUAUCUGAGGUGUGCUGAUGGACUGGAGAAGGGGUUUCGGUCUUUUAACCACGUAGUUUACUGCCUUUGUAGUACGGGCCUAUAUUACCUCUGUGGGAUAAUUUUGUCUGUCAGUCAAGAGAACUUGCUACACUGCGAGGAAGAAUGCUCAUAUAGUGGGGAUGGAAGGGCUGUGUGAUAUGCUACAUGCUAGAUGAACUCAAGUUUUUGGGAACUGAUUCAUUUGAGGAACAGGAGCAGGUUGUGGGUUGAAAUGGUUGGGUCACCUUAAAAGUCAGUUCAGGCUGCAUGUUGAAAUUGGUUUGACCACAAAGAGUAAAAGGCUAGCAGCGUAGGACUUGAAAGAAGAGAAGUUGGUUCUGGUUUUGCUGAUUGGGGUUGUUGGGGUAUGAAGAGGUCUCUUUAAGGGUUCUAAAGUUGUUGAGGAGCCUUGAUUUGAUAAUGGUGGAGUGCUGGUUGACGUGAGGAAAUUGUGAGGCAGGGUUAUAUUACAGCUGGGAUGCUAUGAUGCUUCAUAGGGAGGUGCAUCUCCUAUGAAGAUUGAAUUGGAGAAAAGCUCCACUGGAAAAUCAUGUAGAUUAAGAGCAGGAUGUUAUCUCUUCGUGUAUGUUUGUUAUGUUUUUUGUUAGGAACAAAGCUCAUGGCUUUGGUUGAGCAAUAGAAACCUUCUCUAUGUUUUUAUUCCUUUGGUUGUAAUUGUGCAAUUGAGUUUUGUAUAAGGAUUGGGACACCCCUUAAGUGCCCCCUUUUAUUCAUUCAUUCAUUGCUGAUAAAAAAUAAAUAAAUAAAAAAUGUAAGAUUUACUUAAUGAAAACUUUAGAGUCGGUUGAAUUGCAAGAAUGUUUUUUUAAUUUAUUAAUAAAAAUUAUAUUAAAGGAGAAUGUUUGGAAUACUCUAAUAUUUUUUAUAAAAUAAAACUAUAUACAUAUAAAUUUAAAAUCAAUACGUAUUAGUGAAUUUAAAAUUAAAAAAUGUAAACUCUUAAAAUGUAUUUUCUUCACAUAUUUUUUGAGGUCGAGAGAGAGUAGAGCAGCUUUUAUUGAGUCUUCGUUUAAAUGAAAUCUGUGAUAUAUAAUAGUCAAUAGAAACUAGUUUUCGUUGACAACUGAAUGUUUGGGAAACAAACAAAGCAACGUUUGUUGUGCAACUGCUUCUGCUUUCUCUGCGUGGUUGAACUCAAGCCACACAUAUCACAAUAAUGACACAUAUAUGGUACUCGUGUCCAUUAAUUGUCGAUCUUCACGGUUUAAAACCGGAUCAUGUAUGGCAUCAUAUGGUGGUAGGACCUGUAGUACCUUCUCUAAUUUAUGGUGAGUUUCAUAUGCAAAAAAAUCUUUCUAAGGUGGGGACAGGUAAAUGAUUAGAUAUUGACACAUACGUAUAACACUCGUAUGAUAUGUAUUGGUGAAAUGUCUAAUUCAAAAAUAUUUUUUGGAUUUCUGACCAUUCUAACACGAUUCCAACAUAAUUUUAAAAAGAACAAAUACAUUAAUUUUCCAAAAACUCAAACUUAUUGUAUAAUUUUUUAUUAUAAUUAUGAAAAUAAGAAAUAAAUCCUUUAGAAGCAUCUUUUUAUCACACAAAAAUAACUUUAACAUACUUGUGCACAUAAAUCUUUAUUAUCAAUUUAUAUAAUUUAUAAUUAUAUAAUAUAUAGAUUCGUGUUCCUGUAUCCUACAUUUUUGACAAAGUGUUUGUGUCCAUUUGAUACCAGUAUUCGUGUUAGUGUCUGUGUGUGCAUAGCUGAAAACUUAACAAAUGGAGUAAGAGGUUCGGGUUUGUAAGGAUUUACGACAUUUGAAAUGCUACAAGAAUAGAGAAGUAGCUUGACAACAUUAGAAUUGAGAAUCUGAAGUUGCAUGUCAAUAUUCCAAGGUAUAGAAGGUACGAAAAUCAAAAUUGCCAAAGAUCUCAGAAUUGGGUUACCCACAGUUAUAAACAACAAAAAACUAAGGAAAGUUUGAUAUCGGCAAAUUCAAAACAAAAUAUGCAUUUCGUCUCGAAGGAAAAAAAAGAAGAAAGGAAGAAACACACAUAUGCUGAAGCAUCAAAGAGGGUGACAUUAUCUUCUUCCACGUUGAACUCUUGUAUUGGAGAUCCAACAUCGACCAUCGAUUAGAGACAAAGAUUUUUUUAUAGUACAUAAGUGAAUACAAACCUCAUCUUAUAAGUUCAUUUUAUAAGGUUGAGUUAGACUUAAAGUUCACUACCUAAUUUGGUAUCAGAUUCAUUUAGUGUCUAUCCUAGCAAGAGUUUGUUGGACUUAUCAGACCCUAUCAGAUCACUCGUAAAUAUAUAAUCUCACACACGAGUUGGAGGAUCUCGACGUGAGGCAGGCGCGGUAGACCCUACAUCGAGUAAAGAUAAUUUUUUUUAUUGUAUAUAAGUGAGGUGCAAACCUCACCUUAUAAACUGGUUUUGUAAAGUUGAGUUAGGCUUAAAGUUCACCUCUUAAUAUCUUAAAAAAUAUCAACUAUACAAGCUAAGAAGGAAGUUCUACCGUGGUUGGAAAGUAACUAUGUGAGACGCAUGGAAAGAGUUCUUCAAAGGGGGAAAGAGUAUAAUCAAAAGGAGAUAAUAUGUGAUCAUUGUGUGGAGGAAGUGGUUGAACUUAAUAGAGGAUGGUUUGAGAAUUUUCUUUUAAUCUAUUGUGCCAUGGUCAGAGCAGGAGAUGGCAAAACAUCAUCAAGUAUGGGUAAGAUGCACUCGGGUGCCUCUAUCUGUAUGGAAUAAAGUUUGCUUCAACAAGGUUGUCGAUCACAUUGCGACACUUAUAGGUGUUGAUGAAGCAACGCUUGCCUGGGAAAAUAUUGAAUAUGCGAGACUCAAGAUUAGGAUACCAUUGGGUGAUAGUGCCUUGUUAAAUCAUAAUAUGUUGAUCAGUGGCCAAAUCUAUGCAAUGGGUGUGGAAGAGGACAUGUUAUUUAAUGCCAAUAACGAGUGCCAGAAGGUGGGAACGUGUCAGAUCAACCUUUCUAACAUGUAAACCUACUUAAAUUUGGCUAAUAAUAACAGCCACACAAACAAAAUUAAAUCCAACUACACACUUACAUGGUUAUAAAAUGGAAUAAAUACAAUCACCUUGUCCACACAUUAUUUAAAUAAAAAAAAUACAACAUGUGAAACAUCUAAACUCUGCUUGAUUCCCAAUAUCAUGGUAGAGAAAUAAGGGCAUGGAAACGAAAAGAGUGAUAGACGGGUAUGUUCACACUUUAAAGCUUUACUAAUAGAUUUUCGGACUACAAUAAUGAAUAAAUCCACAAUUUUAAUUAAGAUUCAUCUAAUUGAGUUUAUUUUGGCCUUAACUACUAUUUAUGCUAAUCUUGUAUUUUAGUCGUAGUAGAUGAUCUAAUAUUAAUAUGAAUGAAGUGUCUACCACUACAAGUGGAUCAAAUCACAUGAAAGUUCAAGUUGCUUCUUUGAAUAAUUAUGGAAAACGAAAUCCAUGAAGUCAGGACCAAUUGGGUUGGGCUAACUAAACACCAUGGUGGUGUGCAACAUGACAUAAAUGAAAAUGUAAUAGUUGGCCACCGAACCAAACGUUAAAUCUUGUGUUGUUUAUUUUCUGCAAUUGAUUCGUGAUUAUGUGUGUUGCUUCCGCGUGCGUUUUUUUUCCAUCAAGUGACAUCAGAGCUUGGUUCGUUUAAUCAACGAGACGUGAAAAUUGCGGCUCCAGCGACGUCCCAAAGCUAGGGUUUCGCAGGAGCGGCAGCGGCGUCCCAAAUCUAGGGUUUUGCAGGGGCGGCAACAACAUCCAAAAGCUAGGGUCUCGUAGGGACGACAACAGCGUCCCGAAGCUAGGGUUAUGUGUGCGUUCGGUAGGUGUACUGGUCUGAGACGGCACAGAGUGCAAUGCGACGGUGGUGACCAGCAACGGUGGUGGUGCGGAGCGCGCCAGUGCGGUGCGAAGCACGAAUAGCGGCGGUGCGCGUCGCGUGUCCUGGCAGCUGCGGUCCAGUGCGGCUGAGCGCCAGUGCAGUGGGGAAUGUGACUAGGUCUGUUGGUGAGUGAUUUUGGGUGGUGCAAUAUUUGUGUUCUUGAUUUAAACAAAAAAAAAAGAUUGCCAAGAUCUAAAAUUAGUUAUACCGAGUAUCUCGACUAGUCGUUUGAGAUGGCAAAAGAUGAGAGGUUUCGAAUUGAAAAAUUCGAUGGUACAGAUUUCCGUUGUUGCUGAAAAAUGCAAAUUGAGGAUUUCCUAGUUCAAAAAGAUUUGAACGUGGUUUUGGGUGACAAGCCAGAAAAGAUGUCUAAUUAGCACAACUUGCUAUGUGAUGAAUAUGGUUCUAAUUAGACCUAUUUUGAAGAAAACUACUUAUGAAUUGUUUAAUGGAAGAAAACCCAACAUUGGUCACUUGAAAGUGUUUGGCGGCAAGUGUUACAUUUUGAACAAUGGAAAAGAAAACCUUGACAAGUUUGAUGAAAAAGCAGACGAGGGAAUCUUUCUUGGUUAUUCAUGCAUAUAGUGUGGAUAAUAAGAGACUUAUGACUGUAGAAGAAUCUGUUCAUAUUGUAUUUGAUCAGACUAACCAUGCAGAACAGAAAUCUGUGAAGAAUCGUACAAAGGAAGAUGAUCAGAACAUAACUCUGCCGAAACUGGAGUUAUGCAUUAUAGCUUGUGAUCAAGAAGGUUUCAUUUUCAGGAUCCUCGUAGUAGUUUGGAAAGGAUGCGGGUGGGGGGUUUUUAUCCUGUGAUUCAGACCUAUCAGAUCUAGAACCCAAUCUGUUGGUUUUGGUUUGGUCCAUGGAACCCAAAUCUGGUUUUGGCUUUGCCAUACUCUGGAAUCCAAGUUUGAUUAAAUCAGGGCAGUUGUGAUGAUAUUGCAGGAUCACUAGGUUUUAUGGAGAUUUUUUCUGGUUUUUAGCAGUUUUAUCUGCUGUAAAUGGUGAGGGUUUUGCUGGUUCUGAGGCAUGUUACCAUGCCACAUCCAAAGUGUUUCAAAACAGUAGGGAGCAGUCUAUUCCUUGGUUUUAUGCAAGAUUGUGAGUGCAUGGAAAGACACUUGUGGAACAUAAAGGAAACCAAACCCUUUACCAACUAAGCUUCUGGAAUUGCUUGCGGAACAAGCCAGGGAGUAAGCAUGGCAGCAAGGGCUUUUGAUUCAGAAAAUGCCGACACAUGAUGUGGAAACUUCAGAGCUUCAUAAUGAUGUUGCAUAAUUGUAGUACAAUUGAUGCAUAGUAUUGAGGUACUAGGUGGUUCAUAAGCAAUGGUAUACGAUAAUGGUUAUGUAAGCCAAGAAAAGGGGGUCAAGGUUGAUGCAGGUGUAGGGCUAGUCUGACCAGAGCCUAUGCAGAUUUUUAAAGCUGCAGGUUCAUUAUGUUCUGUUUUUGCUAGUGCUUUUUUUGCAGUCAAUUAUGCAACAUUCAUCUAGUUAUGCAGCUGAUGUAAAUGUUGUAGAGGGUUAGUUUUAGCUUUUUGUGUGUGGCAGGAAGUUUAAAAAAAUUAUUUCUAUAGAGGUCAGACCCUCUUAUUACGUGUAUAUCCUAUAUUUAUUAUAUUCUUCGUCGAUAAAAUAAAUAAAUAAAAGAUAUAAAAGAAAUGAGUGUUUAUUGUUAAAAAUAAUAGAAGUUCCUUAAUAUAAAGUGAAAUAUUAAUUCAACCAACAAAAAAAAGACUCAUUUAAGUAAGCUAUAUAUAUAUAUAUAUAUAUAUUAUAAACGCUCGAAGGCCACAAAAAAAACCAUGUACUAGACUUUUUGGUUCACAUUUGUGUCCAGGUGUCUAUCAAUCAUGAAAAAUCAACAAGAUACAUCAUAUGUUCGGUGCGACAUCAUAUCAAAGGGCUCCACCGUAGAAGUAUAUUUUGUGGUUCAAAAAUAGCCUCUCUUCCCCCUCAUUUAUUAUUUGACCUAAUCUCCAAAAUCUUGGAGGAAAAAUAUCAAUAUGAAGCAGUGUUUAAAUGUGAAACUCGUAUUUAAAUAUGAAACAUGUGUUAAAUUAGCACACAGUAAAUCCAUGCAUCUUUAUUAUGUCUAUAUAUGAGUUCACAGACCCUCCAUUGCAGCUGUGACAUUUUAAAAUGGAUAGCAUUGGUGAUGAAUCUGUUUCACCUGCUGCUAGACGUGUGAUGAACAUUGAAGCCUCCACUCUAGAAGUGGAAGCAACAAAGAUGAAUGGUGGAAGUGAGGGUGUCUGCUUGACAUGGAAGGAUGUGUGGGUGACUGCUUCCAACAGAAACAAUGGAAGCAAAUCAAUUCUUGAGGGUCUCACUGGUUAUGCUAAACCAGGGCAACUCUUGGCAAUAAUGGGUCCCUCUGGCUGUGGUAAAUCUACUCUGCUUGAUACUUUAGCAGGUAAACUUCUAAUUAAUCUCCAUCACUUUUCAUCCCUUAUAUAUUUUACUAAAUACUUUGUCUAAAGUUUUUUGGAAGUUUUCUAUAUGUCCUAGAUUCUUUUACCAAAUACAUAAGUAAUAUACCAAUAACAACCUUUUUAUAUGACAAGUUUAUUAACUUAUAUUAAUAUAACUACUUUAAAAUUUAUACCAAGAAUAAUUCUUUUGUUAAAUGCUCUAAAGUAAAACUUUUUUUUACUCACCACGUUUAUUGAAUUAAAAACAAAUUCAAUGUCUGGAUAGUCACCAAUUACUACUUUUUCUAUUUUUAAAACAUAGCUCCAUGUUAUGAUUCUCUUAAACCUUAACGUAAAAAUAUUGAUAGUCGCUUAAAACUUAAGAGUAAAAUCAUAAUUAUAUACUAUUUUGCCUCCUUUAACGUGUUUUUUUCACUUUAAAGAGAAAAUUAAAGAAUUUUAACUAUUGAAGAAAAAAUAUUUAAUAAUACAUACAUAAAAGAAAUAAAUUUAUUAAGUUUUAACUGGUGGAAUUCCAUACUUUAUAAUAUAUAUAUAUAUAUAUAUAUAUAUAUAUAUAUGUGUGUGUGUGUGUGUGUGUGUGAAGUAUUAUGCACUUUUCAAACGUUAGAUUUGAAAAUAGACUAGUAAGGACUAAAAUACAAGUACUAGAAAUUUCUAUAUUCCAACAAAUGGUUCUGUGGAGGAAAAUAAUCAAGGGUCUUCGGCCAUCCCUUUUUCCAAAAUAGACUACAUUAAUAAUAUUAGUACAAUAUUAGUGAUAAUAAUAAUGAUGAUAAUAAUAAUAAUUAAUAUACAAAAAUUUACAUACAAAAUGUGUGUAUUAUGUAAUAACUAAGAUUAUUAUUUAUAGUUACAAUCAGUAUAUAAUGACUAGAUAUAUUAUUAUUAUUUUUUAUUAUUUCAAAAUCAUACAUGAUAAAAAAAAUAGUUUUAAUUCUCCUGUUUACAAAAUUAAACCAAUAUUAAUUGGGAGAUCAGAGGGAGAAUUAAAGGAAUAUAAAACACUUUUCCUACUCUUCUUUGUCACUAUAGAGGUUUGAACAAAUUAAAUGAUGGUAUAAAUUCUUAUUUCAGGGAGAUUAGGUUCAAAGAUGAGGCAAACCGGGGAGAUUCUGAUCAAUGGACACAAACAAAUAUUGACUUAUGGAACCUCAGUAUGUACAAAAUCUUACUUUCAUCAUCAAGAUCACUAAUAACUACUUAAUUUCAAGAUACACAUGAUGAAUUAAACAUUCUUUGAAUCCAUGUUGUGAACACAGGCAUAUGUGACACAAGAUGAUACCUUGUUGACAACCUUAACGGUUGGAGAAGCAGUGCACUAUUCUGCUCAACUCCAGUUACCUGACACCAUGUCAAAACAAGAGAAGAAAGAGAGAGCAGACUUUACAAUAAGAGAAAUGGGUCUUCAAGAUGCCAUUAACACAAGAAUUGGAGGAUGGGGUUGUAAAGGGAUCAGUGGGGGUCAGAAAAGGAGAGUUAGCAUCUGCAUUGAGAUCCUAACACGCCCUAAACUUCUCUUUCUUGAUGAACCAACUAGUGGACUUGAUAGUGCAGCUUCCUAUUAUGUUAUGAAAAGAAUCGCUUCCCUUGCUCAAAAUGACCACAUUAAGAGGACUGUUAUUGCUUCAAUCCAUCAACCCAGUAGUGAAGUUUUUCAACUCUUCAAUAACCUUUGUCUUUUGUCUUCGGGUAAAACAGUUUACUUUGGACCUGCUUCUGCUGCA